Molecule: long non-coding RNA, 453 nt
Filed under: Brachypodium distachyon (stiff brome)
Lineage: Eukaryota; Viridiplantae; Streptophyta; Magnoliopsida; Poales; Poaceae
Description: long non-coding RNA (BDIS_LNC001447)
Source: RNAcentral
GAAGGCUUGAAUAUCGAAGGUUCAUCUGUAUCUCUGUUUGUCGGUGGAGAACAACAGGUAGUGCAUUCUCAGAGUGUUCUUUUUCCAUCACACUGAAUAACGCUGCACUGUUACAGGCUUUAAAGGCAGAGAAGGUGUUAACUGUUUUUUUUUUCUUUGACAAAUCAGAGUACUGUUUUUGUUUCCCUUUAUACGAUCCCCUGAUAACUUCAGAUUUGUCGUUCUGUUUAUUUCUGUCUGCACUAAUAACACUCACUAAGUACAGUCAGAACUAUUUAAUCAGAUACGCCAAGCAUGUUGUCCACUGGAGUACCCAUCAUUAGCCGCAUCCAAAUCCAACCUGCAUUAUUGGGUAAGGUAUAAGUAACAAAUAUAAUGCCCAUUAAAAUUUAGGUGGGUGUAACACCCACUUACUUAUUUUACUAAUGCCUUGUGAGGCACAGCUUUUAGGUC